Molecule: long non-coding RNA, 636 nt
Organism: Leptidea sinapis
Lineage: Eukaryota; Metazoa; Arthropoda; Insecta; Lepidoptera; Pieridae
Exons: 2
Source: RefSeq, a predicted model, not a curated record
AUAAAAUCCUUUCGUAGCGAGGGGGGUAUUGUAACGUUGUAUUUACAUUACAUACGUUAUUUUACAUAAAAUAAUGAAAUAAAAAUAAACUAAUAACAUAAAAUAAUAAAACUAAUAAAUAAUAAAACGUAAACACUUUUGUGCGCGAGCGUAGGCGAGUUUUUUGCUGUUCAUUAAAAAUGCAUGGCUCGCUCGCGUCACCCGUCGCCCGGCUAUCGCCAUACCACGGCUGCGCUCGGUAAUAGCAACACGUCAUUAUAUUAUGUGCAGUGACUUAUCACGUUUGCCGUAAAAUACCUAGUUAUAUAAUUUUUUUAAUCACCGGUUGUCUUAACAUAAUAUAAAAAUAAGUUUCAAGGAUUAUCGUCACCCCGAUAGGGGUUCCAGGAUAAGAUUUUGGAACGUUAAAAGAUAUAAUUCCACCAAGUUCCGGUGAUUAGUUACCCGGACACCGAGUAUCGGGAAUCACCUGUGACACGUCGAGUCAUAACCUCCAGCUGAGGGGCCUGCACCGGCGUCUUCAACGUCAGGGUUACCGAGCUACAAGGACAAACUAGAUCAACCAACAAUACACCCUACGACCCUUGCUCAAAUUGUAUUUUAAUUAUUUUUAAAUAUACAUCAUUUAAAGGCCGG